GUACACUCCUGCGGGAGGCAACAGUGGGGAAUAUUGGACAAUGGGCGCAAGCCUGAUCCAGCCAUGCCGCGUGAGUGAUGAAGGCCCUAGGGUUGUAAAGCUCUUUCACCGGUGAAGAUAAUGACGGUAACCGGAGAAGAAGCCCCGGCUAACUUCGUGCCAGCAGCCGCGGUAAUACGAAGGGGGCUAGCGUUGUUCGGAUUUACUGGGCGUAAAGCGCACGUAGGCGGACUAUUAAGUCAGGGGUGAAAUCCCGGGGCUCAACCCCGGAACUGCCUUUGAUACUGGUAGUCUUGAGUUCGAGAGAGGUGAGUGGAAUUCCGAGUGUAGAGGUGAAAUUCGUAGAUAUUCGGAGGAACACCAGUGGCGAAGGCGGCUCACUGGCUCGAUACUGACGCUGAGGUGCGAAAGCGUGGGGAGCAAACAGGAUUAGAAACCCUUGUAGUCCCA
This 450-nucleotide ribosomal RNA is filed under the name uncultured organism. Its description in RNAcentral is "partial 16S ribosomal RNA". It matches the Rfam family "Bacterial small subunit ribosomal RNA", at positions 331 to 797 of the family's 1533-position model. The record is from RNAcentral.